This 407-nucleotide ribosomal RNA is filed under the name uncultured bacterium. RNAcentral describes it as "bacterial SSU rRNA". It matches the Rfam family "Bacterial small subunit ribosomal RNA", at positions 355 to 776 of the family's 1533-position model. The record is from RNAcentral.
UCGAGAAUUUUUCACAAUGGGGGCAACCCUGAUGGAGCGACGCCGCGUGGAGGAUGAAGGCCCUUGGGUUGUAAACUCCUGUCAUAAGAGAACAAGAAAGUGAUAGUAUCUUAAGAGGAAGAGACGGCUAACUCUGUGCCAGCAGCCGCGGUAAUACAGAGGUCUCAAGCGUUGUUCGGAUUCAUUGGGCGUAAAGGGUGCGCAGGCUGUGUGGUAAGUCAGGUGUGAAAUUUAGAGGCUUAACCUCUAAACUGCACUUGAUACUGCCAUGCUAGAGGACUGUAGAGGAGAUUGGAAUUCACGGUGUAGCAGUGAAAUGCGUAGAUAUCGUGAGGAAGACCAGUGGCGAAGGCGAAUCUCUGGGCAGUUCCUGACGCUCAUGCACGAAGGCUAGGGGAGCAAACGGG